GCCUGGGUGGCUCAGUAGGUUGGGCAUCUGACUUCGGCUCAGGUCGUGAUUUCACGGUUUAUGGGUUCAAACCCCACAUCAGGCU
This 85-nucleotide transfer RNA is filed under the name Felis catus (domestic cat). It matches the Rfam family "tRNA". From Rfam's summary of the family: Transfer RNA (tRNA) molecules are approximately 80 nucleotides in length. Their secondary structure includes four short double-helical elements and three loops (D, anti-codon, and T loops). Further hydrogen bonds mediate the characteristic L-shaped molecular structure. tRNAs have two regions of fundamental functional importance: the anti-codon, which is responsible for specific mRNA codon recognition, and the 3' end, to which the tRNAs corresponding amino acid is attached (by aminoacyl-tRNA synthetases). tRNAs cope with the degeneracy of the genetic code in two manners: having more than one tRNA (with a specific anti-codon) for a particular amino acid; and 'wobble' base-pairing, i.e. permitting non-standard base-pairing at the 3rd anti-codon position. The record is from Rfam by way of RNAcentral. Lineage: Eukaryota; Metazoa; Chordata; Mammalia; Carnivora; Felidae.